RNAcentral lists this ribosomal RNA (775 nucleotides) under Chaetoceros curvisetus. Its description in RNAcentral is "partial large subunit ribosomal RNA". It matches the Rfam family "Eukaryotic large subunit ribosomal RNA", at positions 50 to 856 of the family's 3401-position model. The record is from RNAcentral. Lineage: Eukaryota; Bacillariophyta; Thalassiosirophyceae; Chaetocerotales; Chaetocerotaceae.
GGGGAGGAAAAGAAACUAACAAGGAUUCCUUUAGUAACGGCGAGUGAAACAGGAUGAGCUCACCUAUAAUCGGCAAUUUUUUGCCGAGUUGUGGUCUGUAGAAGCAUUGUCGGUCGAGGUUCCGGGCUAAGUCUCUUGGAAAAGAGCAGCUGAGAGGGUGACACUCCCGUUCUUGCCUGGGAUCUGCGAUCAUAGCACAUGCCUUCAACGAGUCGAGUUGCUUGGGAUUGCAGCUCAAAUGCGUGGUAUACUCCAUGUAAAGCUAAAUAUAGGUAGGAAACCGAUAGCGCACAAGUACUGUGAAGGAAAGAUGCAAAGAACUUUGAAAAGAGAGUUAAAGAGUACCUGAAACUGUUGAAAGGGAAGCAAAUGGAAACAGUGUGUUUCCGUACCAUUCUUCCUUCGUGGCUUGCCACGGGGGCGCUGUGGUGCGGGAGUGGUCAGCAUGGGUUUGACUCGGAGCAUAUAGCUAUUCAGGAGGCAUCUGUCUUUUCAGAGAUUACUGUUUAGUGUUGUUCUGGGUUGGAUCGAGGUUAGUAUUUCGUGAUGCUGACGAAAUGUUUCUAUUUACCCCGUCUUGAAACACGGACCAAGGAGUCUAACAUGUUCGCGAGUAUCUGAGUGGCAAACUCAUAUGCGCAAUGAAAGUAACAGUGGUAGGACCUUCUGGGGCACUAUCCGCCGGCAUUGAUCCUUCGGGAGAAAGGUCUGAGUGUGAGCAUACAUGUUGGGACCCGAAAGAUGGUGAACUAUGCCUGAAUAGGGUGAAGCCACC